UUCGAGUGGCGGACGGGUGAGUAACGCGUGGGUAACCUGCCUUACACAGGGGGAUAACACCUGGAAACAGGUGCUAAUACCGCAUAAGCGCACAGGGCCGCAUGGCCCGGUGUGAAAAACUCCGGUGGUAUACGAUGGUUCCGCGUCUGAUUAGCUAGUUGGUGGGGUAAUGGCCUACCAAGGCAACGAUCAGUAGCCGGCCUGAGAGGGUGAACGGCCACAUUGGGACUGAGACACGGCCCAAACUCCUACGGAAGGCAGCAG
This 264-nucleotide ribosomal RNA is filed under the name uncultured bacterium. RNAcentral's name for it is "partial 16S ribosomal RNA". It matches the Rfam family "Bacterial small subunit ribosomal RNA", at positions 90 to 354 of the family's 1533-position model. The record is from RNAcentral.